CAGCAGCCGCGGUAAUACGGAGGAUCCAAGCGUUAUCCGGAAUCAUUGGGUUUAAAGGGUCCGUAGGCGGUUUUGUAAGUCAGUGGUGAAAGCCCAUCGCUCAACGGUGGAACGGCCAUUGAUACUGCAAGACUUGAAUUAUUAGGAAGUAACUAGAAUAUGUAGUGUAGCGGUGAAGUGCUUAGAUAUUACAUGGAAUACCAAUUGCGAAGGCAGGUUACUACUAAUAUAUUGACGCUGAUGGACGAAAGCGUGGGGAGCGAACAGGAUUAGAUACCCUGGUAGUCCACGCCGUAAACGAUGGAUACUAGCUGUUCGGAGCAAUCUGAGUGGCUAAGCGAAAGUGAUAAGUAUCCCACCUGGGGAGUACGUUCGCAAGAAUGAAACUCAAAUGAAUUGACGG
Molecule: ribosomal RNA, 403 nt
Filed under: uncultured bacterium
Lineage: Bacteria
Description: bacterial SSU rRNA
Rfam family: Bacterial small subunit ribosomal RNA
Source: RNAcentral